AACGGGCGGGCAUUCAUCACUCCGGCGAACCGACCGGUGGCUUCGCGCGUCGCAUUCGUGCGCGUCGCGAUGGCUGCCGGCAAUCGGCCGCCGAGUGUGCAUUUGCCAUGCCCGAGUAGAAACACUGCGAGCCGUUGGAUGGGCGUCGAUGGCCGGUGAUGAAGUUCGUUUUGGGGUUUCGGCCCCGUUUCGAGCCACCGCGCCUGGCCUCGUUCGACGGUGAAUCGAUGACGCGAGCCCGCACCUCCGCGUGCGUUCGGCUCUCGACAAGCGGCGGCGGUGUUUUCCGGCAGUUCGGUGCUUCGGCCCCGACGUCGGACCCGUCACGUUAUUAGUCGGGAUGCUCUCGGACCGUGGCUCCGUCGUUCGCCAGUGAGUUUGGCCGCAGGCACCCUCAGGACCCGUCUUGAAACACGGACCAAGGAGUCUAGCAUGUAUGCGAGUCUCAAGGGAACUCGAUACCCUCAGGCGCAGUUAACGCAAAUGACGCUUCGCGUCCUAAUGGAGGAUGGGCGACCGCACGCGGUCGCCUCGCACUCCUGGGGCGUUCCGAUCUCGUCGAGAUGGAGCGCACCAAGAGCACACAUGCUGGGACCCGAAAGAUGGUGAACUAUGCCCGGUCAGAACGAAGUCAGGGGAAACUCUGAUGGAGGUUCGUAGCGAUUCUGACGUGCAAAUCGAUCGUAAGAACUGGGUAUAGGGGCGAAAGACUAAUCGAACCAUCUAGUAGCUGGUUCCCUCCGAAGUUUCCCUCAGGAUAGCUGGCGUUCGGAUGGGAGUUUCAUUCGGUAAAGCGAAUGAUUAGAGGCCUUGGGGUCGAAACGACCUCAACCUAUUCUCAAACUUUAAAUGGGUGAGAUCUCCGGCUUGCUUGAAAGUGAAGCCGCGAGACUUACG
RNAcentral lists this ribosomal RNA (897 nucleotides) under Nicrophorus orbicollis. RNAcentral's name for it is "eukaryotic LSU rRNA". It matches the Rfam family "Eukaryotic large subunit ribosomal RNA", at positions 601 to 1113 of the family's 3401-position model. The record is from RNAcentral. Lineage: Eukaryota; Metazoa; Arthropoda; Insecta; Coleoptera; Silphidae.